AGGGCGGGGGGUGCAGACCGGAGGGCGCCCAUAGAUAGCGGAGAGUGGCGUGACGGGCCCCGGCGUUUUGGAAGCACAGCGGGAUGUGUCAGUGUGGUGCAAGGACUGACACGGGGACGAGAUGUAAUUUAUGACGAGUGCUGUUUGAUUACAGGACAGCGACGGUGAUACUGCCACUUAGUGCGAGUGCCGGGAUCACUGACAUGACAGCCCCCGCGCCGACAAGCUCACUGUACUUAGUCACAUCUGCGGUAAAUAUAACAUUAACUGCAAAUCUGCAGUCCAUCUCGGAGUACGUUUUUUAAGAGGCUGCCCUCUCUGAAUUUCACUGCUCAGCUCAGAUGUAGUUUUAUCAUUAAGUGCAUUACUGGAGUGUGUGUUUAUUAAGUACGAUUCCAAGCUACUCAGAAACGAGUCCAAGCAUCCUGGGGCUCAAAUUCUUUCUCAAUGGUUUGUUUUGGAAAAAGACCAUAGAAUAUUUUUUUGGGAAACUGGCAGCUGGUCCUCUCAUAGCUAGAGGUCAACAUAACACUCAGUAUUAAUAAAACAAAUAAGACUAGGAUGGAUAUUAAUGAUGAUAUAUACAGAUGUCCGGCGCAUGAGUUUGAAUUAUGUGUGAGCGCGCUGGAGGAGAGACACUCUCACAGAUACUCUCACACAUGUUUAUGUGUUGGCUUGUGUGUGUGUGUGUGUGCGCGCGCGAUAGCCGAGUUCGUUUCCCUCAGAUGUUCCCUUUGACCUUUGACCCCGCAGUCGGGGUCAAGCCCUGACAAAUGAGAUGGUCGAGUUCUGGCCAGAACUGCUAACAUUCCACAACAAUCUUCUGUCCUCCUCCUCCCCUCUCCUCAUAUCCGUCAUUCCUCACCCCUUCACUCCUCUCUCAGCGUGUCUCUCUUCCGCGACUUGAGAGCGAGUUGGGGAAAGUUCUCAUUACAAACAAACACGCUCUAUAGUAUUUGCUGUGGGAAUCUGAAACUGCGCACCCCUUCAAAUUAAGAGUUACAACGUCGGUUGGAUUUAAUAUCCCCCGACAUCUGCCUCAUUCACAGAAGAAAAGAAAACAGAAGAGUGUGAUCUUAGAGGAGAAGCCCGGUUAAAGAUUUGGAUAUUGCAACCCCGCAACUUUAGAAAGCACACUGUGUGUGUGUUUGGAAAGCCUGUCAGUGAUGUCAAGGAUGAGAAAUGUUGCAGUGUGGUUUUUUACACACGCUGCUGGCUCUAGCAUUUCCGGCAACAUUUCUCACUCUGCCUCCCUCACACCAUCCGCUCUGCUGCAAUAUCCCCACAUUUUUCCAUCCUUUCACUUCUUCCUCUCCCCUCCCUCCCUUCCCUCCUUCCUUGUUCGCCUGCUCUCCGCUCUCUGACCACUCUUACCCUUCCUCUCUGCUGCACCACCCUGUCCAAUCUCAGCCUCUCCCUCCCUCCCUCUGUCCUCCGAGCACAUUCAGUCCCCCCCACCACCCUCCUCUUUUUUCCUCCACCCACUAUUUUCUCAGAUUUUCUAACAUGCCGUUCCACAGAAUGCUACCACCUGUGUCUUUAGGGAGAAAAAAAAAGGGGGGGGGGGGGCUAUUGGUAUUCCUCUUCGGGAAGCUGGUUAAGGUAAGUGGCACCCUCUAUUACAAUGACACGGCAAAUAAUGGUUCUGCUUGUUGUGUUUCUGUGUUACCUUUUAUUUUUUUUUCAUGGAAUGACCCUGGCUUCCUAAGCAUCACCGCCCUCCAUCAGAGCUCUAGCUACAAGUCAGUGCUGUAAAAACACACACAGUCACUAUCGAUGAACGUCAGCAGAGCAGCACGCGGCGCCACAAAAGGAGCCCGGAGACCAACAAAGCCGGCUGAUACGGUAACACUGAGUGGAUCAUGCUCUUGAACUUGCUUUCAUAAUGAUGUAAUAUUAAUAAAAGGCGAUGCAACACAGCAAAGAUCUUAAUAAAAACACAUCAAUCCCGA
Acanthopagrus latus (yellowfin seabream) is the source of this 1952-nucleotide long non-coding RNA. RefSeq lists it as uncharacterized. The transcript has 2 exons. The record is from RefSeq and is a predicted model, not a curated record. NCBI's taxonomy places the organism in Eukaryota, Metazoa, Chordata, Actinopteri, Spariformes, Sparidae.